UAGCCUGCAUGUCUAGCACAAGCCGAUUAAUGGUGAAGCCGCGAAUGGCUCAUUACAACAGCCAUAGUUUCUUAGAUCUUACUUUUCUACUUGGAUAACUGUGGUAAUUCUAGAGCUAAUACACGCAAACAAGCUCAGACCUUACGGAAUGAGCGCAUUUAUUAGAACAAAAACCAAUCGGAUCUCGGUCCGUCAUUUGGUGAAUCUGAAUAACUUUGCUGAUCGCACGGUCAUCGUACCGGCGACAUAUCUUUCAAAUGUCUGCCUUAUCAACUUUCGAUGGUAGUUUAUGCGCCUACCAUGGUUGUAACGGGUAACGGAGAAUAAGGGUUCGACUCCGGAGAGGGAGCCUGAGAAACGGCUACCACAUCCAAGGAAGGCAGCAGGCACGCAAAUUACCCACUCCCGGCACGGGGAGGUAGUGACGAAAAAUAACGAGACGGCUCGCUAUGCGGUCCGUCAUCGGAAUGGGUACAAUUUAAAUCCUUUAACGAGGAUCUAUU
Molecule: ribosomal RNA, 503 nt
Filed under: uncultured eukaryote
Lineage: Eukaryota
Description: SSU rRNA
Rfam family: Eukaryotic small subunit ribosomal RNA
Source: RNAcentral